GAUGCUGUAACAAUUGUCAGGCCUCCAGGAGGCUGUUGAGCACAUCUUUCAGUGAGCUCACCCUGUGUCUAUUCUUGGUUUUGGAUGGGUGUUGUGGAUGGCAAAAGAUGAGAGAAGUGAGUCUCCUUCCUGAACAGUUGUGUCUUCAGACUCUGGCAAUGGGAGGCACAGAGGUGCCCUCUUUGCUGCUCCCUUUCCUAAAGUGCAGCCAGCUGGGGCUCAGCCGGACCCCACAGAUCAGAAAGGGCCACCUCAAGGUUGCUUUAAACUGAGGCUUAAUGGAAGUCCCUGCUCAUCAAACUGCGGAGUUUUCCCAGCAGGCAGUGACACUCCAACUGUGUCCUUCUCUUCCGAUUCCCUCCUUCCCUUUGCCUCCACCCCCUGUGCUUUUGGGGCUGGGCAGAUCUCCCCCAGCUCCAGCUGGGCCCUUUCCAUGCUGCAGACAUGUGACACCUGCAUUGAUCAGCUUUGGGGUUGCUUUCUGUCUUCUGGAGCUGCACGAGACAGUUGGGACACGAAGAUCCAAACAGCAGUUGGAGUUGCCUGGGAGAACAUGGAUGGUUUUGCUUGCUUAGGGAGAGCCAGGUGAGAAAGGGAAAACUGCACAACAGUUUGGAAGAGCUGACUGAUCAUCUGUGAGCAGGGAAUUCACCUCACUGUAGAGGUCUCACUCCAGGUCUUUCCAAAACCUCAGCCUUAGCAUGAGAUCCAGGCUGUGCUUAAGAUCUCUGGGAAGAACUCUGUGGUAGAGGAGAUUUCCUGCUGCAAAACUACAGCUUACUUAUACUUCUAAAAAAAGAAGACUAUAUAAAGAUGGGGGAAAUGGGUCAUGUGAAAUCUAGCUGUAGAUUAUCAUUUAAAAUUACUACCUGCAAUCACAUUAACCCAUUUUAGACCAAUUUCAGUUUUACACAGAAAAAGACACAAUUUAGAUCAAGUAUGCCAUUUUUAUAUAGUCUCAAGGGUAAUUAUGCUUGUGUUUUUUUUUUUUUUUUUUUUUUUGGUUUUGGUUUUCUUUUCAUUCUGUGUAAAUCAACUGGACUUUUCAGUACUGUAAUUAAAGUCAACAUUAUUUAUGUGACAAGUUGAAUUCCUCCUGUUGAAGGAAUUCUACGAUAAAAUGACACUGAAAUUCCUGGUGAAAACCUACAGGAGACAUUUGAAAAAUCGCACUGUGAAUUUUCUCUUUCGAACCAUUUUCCAGAUAUAUUUGAAGCAUCUGGAUUAUGGAAUUUAGCCUGGUCAUCAUAAAGCACUUGAGUGAAGGGACAGGGUUUGAAGGUUUGAGCCACUUUGCACAGUUGAGGAAGCUUUGAAGUUCCUCUGCUUGCAAUGAACUCUGUGUUCCUCCUGCAAAGUUCUGUCACCCUCUUACAUUUUCGUCACCUUUCCAGAUUAGGGGAAAAAAAAAAAGCUUAAGUGGGGGAAAAUGAAAGUUCUUUUAAGAUCUUGCUGAGGCUGAAAUGUAGAGGGAAUCAAAUCACUGCUUUGUUCCUGUCUUUAGCUGGGGACAAAACCAGAGAUGAUCUUUCUUAAACAUGAUAGCCAUAAAAGUUAUUUUGCUUUCUUUGCUGGUUCUACUUACAGUUAAAAAUUACUCUGUGGGAUUUUUCUCUGUAGUUUUGAAAAGGUCUGAAGUUGAACUUUAAAAAUCUGAAAUUUUGUAUCUGAAUUCUUGAAACCCUUUGCACAAUUAAAAUAUUUUUCCUUCCUAUAACUUGUUUCCAACCAAACAUUAGCUUGGCUACCAUAUAAAAGGGGAUAUUCUUGUGCUGUAAGGUGUGGAAAAUGUAAAUACCUGCCAAAUUCUGAGACAAUGAGACACAAAGGCCACUGAGAAUGAAGAGAGAAAAGGAGAGAAAAAUGGAAGAUACGGCAGUUUAUUCUUUUUAGUAAUGAUAGUUGCCAAACAUACCUUAAUGUCUGAGAUUUCUGAUGUUUGUUGGCUUUUUUACUGUCAUCAGGUGAGUGAAUAUGACCUUUAUGCAAAAUAAACCGAGUACAAUUUUUUUUCAAACUAAAAAUAACCUCUUAAUUUUCAACUUGUGUUAAAGAAACCUUUUUCCAGAGUUCUCUGCUGUCCUGCCAUAUAAUUGAAGUGAA
Molecule: long non-coding RNA, 2103 nt
Organism: Corapipo altera (White-ruffed manakin)
Lineage: Eukaryota; Metazoa; Chordata; Aves; Passeriformes; Pipridae
Exons: 3
Source: RefSeq, a predicted model, not a curated record